This 397-nucleotide ribosomal RNA is filed under the name uncultured bacterium. RNAcentral's name for it is "partial 16S ribosomal RNA". It matches the Rfam family "Bacterial small subunit ribosomal RNA", at positions 523 to 918 of the family's 1533-position model. The record is from RNAcentral.
AUACGUAGGGGGCAAGCGUUAUCCGGAUUUACUGGGUGUAAAGGGAGCGUAGACGGCGAUGCAAGUCUGAAGUGAAAACCCGGGGCUCAACCCCGUGGACUGCUUUGGAAACUGUGUUGCUGGAGUGCAGGAGAGGUGAGUGGAAUUCCUAGUGUAGCGGUGAAAUGCGUAGAUAUUAGGAGGAACACCAGUGGCGAAGGCGGUUCACUGGACUGUAACUGACGUGGAGGCUCGAAAGCGGGGGGAGCAAUCAGGAUUAGAUACCCUGGUAGUCCACGCCGUAAACGAUGAAUGCUAGGUGUCGGGGGGCAAAGCCCUUCGGUGCCGCCGCUAACGCAUUAAGCAUUCCACCUGGGGAGUACGUUCGCAAGAAUGAAACUUAAAGGAAUUGACGGGG